Molecule: long non-coding RNA, 25206 nt
Filed under: Homo sapiens (human)
Lineage: Eukaryota; Metazoa; Chordata; Mammalia; Primates; Hominidae
Description: non-protein coding JPX:28
Rfam family: JPX transcript, XIST activator conserved region 1 (bases 7-141)
Source: RNAcentral
AUGCCCUAGGGCUAGUGGAAGACUUAAGAUGGCGGCGUUUGCACGGAGUGCAAUCACUGCGUCCUUACGGGGGUUGCAAGGCGUCCGAAGUAUGAGUCCACUAACAAAAGUCCAGAAACUCGCCAGUUAAUAGUAUUGUGUCUCUUCAAAAUAUCGGAGAAUAAUUUCUUUCUCGCUGAUCGCCUAACUUCUACUGACGAAGCUUGGAAGUUGCAGAAGCCAGACAUGAUGUAUUGAGUAAAAGGAACUUCGGUACACAGGCCUUUAGUGAUGUGGUGGUAAGAUGUAUGGUAAGUGGAAAUGUUCUGUAUACCUACGAUUAAUUCUUAGCCUGUGCUCCUGGGCUGCGAACUUUGCAACUGCUUCUCAGUCUUCUCUAUCCUCCACUUAUAUGGGAUAUGAUGGCUAGAGGGGGCUGAGUUGGGUAGUUCCUUUACCCCAAGAGAAAGGCUAGAGGGGCAGGUAAUGGGUAUUUCCCUUUCUCCAGGUCAGUUAGGCUCUAAUUAAGUAGUUUGUCUUGAGUGGAGGCCUUGAUAUGAACAGAAUGCUGUUAUGUAUUUCAAAAUGGUUGUAUGUUCUUCCCCUGCUGGAAGUGAGACAGGAAAAGUUCCCUUGUUCCCCUCGCAGGGCACGCGAUGAGGGUGUGGAUUGCUUCUUCAGUGCCUGCUGGCUCAAAACUCUAGGUGGAGCAUGCAGUCAGGCAGGCUGCGGGGCUCUGACCCCACGGCAGUGUCUAGGGUUGAAUUUUGUUUUUGUUUUUUGAGAUGGAGACUCACUCUGUUGCCCAGGCUGGAGUGUAGUGGUGCGAUCUCGGAUCAUUGCAACCCCCGCCUCCCAGGUUCAGGCGAUUCUCCUGCUCAGCCUCCCAAAUAGCUGGGAUUACAGGCGUGUGCCACCAUGCCUGGCUAAUUUUUGUAUUUUUAGUAGAGACAGGAUUUCACCAUGUUGGUCAGGCUGGCCUUGAACUCCUGACCUCGUGAUCCACCUGCCCCAGCCUCCCAAAGUGCUGGGAUUACAGGCAGGAGCCACUGCACCCGGCCCUCUAGGAGUGAAUGUUUACAGCUGAAGCCCCAGUGGGCAUUUGUUACAGGGUGCUCUUUUAGUUUAGCCGUCCAUAGGUAGCUUGUGUUAGUCAGCACAAUUAAACCCCCUGCCUUAUGGCAAGGACAGAGAACUUUCUGUAUCCUGGGGUUCUUGCCUUGUUGUACUGGAAGAAUUGGAUCACACGUGGGCUUGAGUGCAAGGUUUUAUUGAGUGGAAGUAGCUCCAACAGAUAGGGUUGCCAGAAGAGAUAGGGUUUUCCCCUGGCGUUAGGCUGCUUGGUUGCCCAGGCUCUCCUCCGACUGCCCAGGCCAAACUCCACGUCAUUCAACCGGUCAUUUGAUGGCCUGCCAGCAUCUGUUGGUGUGCUCUUCCACUGGCAUCCUCCCCUUGACGUCCUCUUGACGUCCAGCCGCUUGUGUCUUCUGCUGCUGCUGUGUUCCUUUCAACGUCCAGCUGCUUGUGUCUCUGCCUGCUAGGGUCUUGGGGUUUUUUUUGUUUGAUUGAGAUGGAGCCUUGCUCUGUCAUCCAGGCUGGAGUGCAGUGGUGCGAUCUCGGCUCACCACAACCUCCACCUCCCCAGUUCAAGCGAUUCUCCUGUCUCAGCCUCUUGAGUAGCUGGAAUUACAGGCACCUGCCACUAGGCCUGGCUAAUAUUUUUUCUUUUUUGUGUGUAUUUUUAGUAGAGUCAGGGUUUCACCAUGUUGGCCAGGCUGGUCUUGAACUCCUGACCUCAGGUGUUCCACCCACCUCGGCCUCCCAAAGUGCUGAGAUUACAGGCGUGAGCCAUUGCGCCUGGCACAUUACUUCUUUAAGUGUGGUUUUCUUUAGUUCUCUGAACAUGUUUGUAUUAGCUUCCUUGAUGUCUUUGUCUGCUGUGUUUGAGAUCUGUGCUUUUGCGUUGGCGAGCCCCAGCACAAGGGUAGUUUCAGUGAUUUGCAAGGACCCACAGGACUGGCGUAUAAUUGUACUCAUGGAUAUGAGUUAUUCCUGUGAAAGGAUACAAAGCAAAAUCAGCGAAGGGAAAAGAUGUCUGGGGCUAAAGUUUGUUAGAGCCAGGUGCAAGCCUCCAAGUGUUCUCUUCCAAGUAUGGUCACACAGGACAUACCUCAUUUCUCCAGGAAUGCAUUCUGAGAACACAUAUGAAGUGUUGUCUACUAGGGAAGCUCAUUAGAGGCUCAGUGACCAUAGCUUUUAUUGGGGGCUGGUCAUGCAGGCACCCUUUGCCUAGCACAUAGCAAAAUUCCAGGCUUGCGGAAGGAAAGCAGGUGUUCAGCACAAACCCCAUUGUUUAUACAGUUUAGCCACAGUGAGCCAUUCUUAUCAGGGAAUAGUGGCAACUCUCUUGAAAUCCAGGUUCUCAGAUGCCAGCUAAGGGCCAUCCUUGAAGGCAGGCCUUUUUAAGUAUAACAGUCUUGGGCCUCAAAUGUAAACUCUAUAUCACCUUCUCAAGGCAUUUUUCUGUUACUUGCUUUUUGGUUUCUUAUAUGAAUCUCACUUUUUUUAAAAAAUACCUCAUACUUUUUGCUGAAACCUACAAAUUUUAGAUAAUAUAUUGCAGUGAUUUCUGGAUACUGCUACCCCCUCCUCUACUGUGGGGCUCAUUGGUAUUGUUUACUUCUUUGUUUAGUUAUUUGCCAGAACUUAUAGUGUUUUUUUUGUUGUUGUUGUUUUUUGGUUUUUUUUUUUUUUUUUUUUGAGACGGAGUUUUUGCUCUGUUGCCCAGGCUGGAGUGCAAUGGCACGAUCUCGGCUCACAGCAACCUCCGCCUCCUGGGUUCAAGCGAUUCUCCUGCCUCAUCCUCCAGAGUAGCUGGGAUUAGAGGUGCCCGCCACCAUGCCUGGCUAAUUUCUGUAUUUUUAGUAGAGAGGAGGUUUCACCGUGUUGGCCAGGUUGGACUCGAACUCUUGACCUCAGGUGAUCCACCCGCCUCAGUCUCCCAAAGUGCUAGGAUUACAGGUGUGAGCCACCGCGCCUGGCUGUGAUGUGUUUUUUAACCUACAGUGUACAUCCUUUGGUGUCCCUCUUUAGUGGGACAGCUUUGGGAAUAAGCAUAGUCACUAUGGAAUGAUUGGUUUUAGCAGGGCUGUCUUUCAGUGUCUUUUUCUAAUUUCUCUGUUAAUCUGUCAGCCUCUGUUAUCUCACCUAAUCAUUAGUUUGCACUAAUUUCAGACUGAUUACUCUAUUGGUUUUGACCAUGUCCAGGGGCAUAAAUUGCCUAACUAUGUGAUCCAAAUUUGGGCCCUUUUAUAGAGAUAGUAUUUGAGACCAACCUUUGAGGUUGGCUCAGAUCCCAGGUAGGCUCUUAUUUGUCUUUUUCUCUGGGUCUCUGGCUGUCUUCUAGCUGGUGUUUCUAUAGCUUGUUGCUCUCAAGUAGUUACUAAUCUUCUCUUAAUAGCUUACCACCCAAAUCUCUAUUGUUAUUGGGAACAUCCUUAGGCUUUUUUUUCUCCCCAUUGUGUUCCAAAUUAAGUCAUUUAUUUUGGGGAUACCUUCAGAACUCUGUUAUUGCAGCCUGCCUUUCCCCUCGGGCAAAACCUCUGCAUUGCUGCUCUGGAGCUGAGGGCAAGGAAACUGUCUCAGUUUUCCCUGUGACGCAAGCAAGGUGUUUGGCAGGGGAAGAUGGCCUCUGGUUUUCCUAAAUGUCACCCUAAGGUUAAGUCUUCCCUUUGUGCUAUGUCUCAGAGAAUGUUUCCACAUUAUUGUUUCUUUCUCAGUAGUGGUCCUCUUGGUGUUGCUAUAUGACAUUUUUAGCCUGGUCACUGGUUGGCAGGAGUGUGCCCUAUCUGUUGUUUUAUUAAUUAAGGCUUAGUUUUAGGCACCAGUGUCCUGGGGUCUCGUGGUUGUGUUAUACUCAGUACUCCUGCCUCUUCCUCCUGCUGUAAUUUUGGACCCAUUGUGUAUUUCUGCUCUUUCUUCAUAGCUAAUUUUUUUUUUCUCUCUAUUUCAUUCUCCCAGGGUCACAGUUUUUACAACUAUCCUAAUGGCCACAGUGUUUGUUGCCCUUCCUCCCACUGAGUAAGGACUUUGUUUUGUAGAUGGAGUAGGAUCUGAACAGAUUUCUUUGACCUUCCCAAAACAGAUUUUGUUCCCCUCUCCCAGGUGUGUACCUUGAGGGUAGUUUCUCAAGACUGUCAUCAAUCUUUUGUGUGAUCUCUUGAAUGGGUUAGUGGAGAAAAUACCUGAAUAGUCUGCAGACCUCUCAAUUCUGUGCUGCCCCACCCUGGGCUUCAUACUUACUUGCCAGUUAACACUUACCCUUUGCCAAUUGACCAACCAUUUUAGUUGAUCUCUUACUGAUGUCUGGUUGCAUCUACUUUCACAGGUAAGCCGGGGGUGUGUCUCAUCAUUCCUUUGGGGCACCACAACUUAGAUUUUGGUUGGCCCCAGUAAGACUCCUGUCUCUGGGGGAUUCAAGGAAAGUUGUGAACUUCUUUCCUAUUCUCCUACCCUCUUUAUUUGUAAGGGUGAAAGUGAUGCUCUCUCUAGCUCUCUACCUACCAGAACCAGAUGAUGUUUUCUAGUCUAGUCUGGUACUGUCUUUCACUUACUGUGAAGCCCCAUUAUAUUUACUGUGAUUUUCUUCAUAUUGUUGGAUUUAUAUCUCUAAUUUAAAAAAAUGAUUUGGUUUGGAAUGGUUUUUUCAUAAUGCAAUCCAAAGUAUCAUAGUCCCCAUGGUUUCUUAGUCUUUCCCUGUUUCUCAUGACCUUGACAGAUUUAAAAAGUGUACUGGUUAGGUAUUUGGUAGAAUAUUUCUCAAUUUGGAUUUGUCUGAUAUAGUCUCAUGAUUAAAUGAUAUGAAUUUUGGGGAAGAAUACCACACAGAUAUACCAUUCUCAUAGCUUCAUAUCAGGAUAUAUAUGUAUACAUACACACACACAUAUACACACAUAUACAUACAUGUAUACAUAUACGCACAUAUAUACAUAUAUACAUAUACACACGUAGACAUGUAUACAUAUACACACGUAGACAUGUAUACACAUACACACGUAGACAUGUAUACACACGUAGACAUGUAUACACAUACACACGUAGACAUGUAUACACACACGUAGACAUAAAUGCAUGCAUAUACACACGUAGACAUAAAUGCAUGCAUAUACACGCGUAUACAUAUAUGCGUGCAUAUACGCACGUAUACAUAUAUGCGUGCAUAUACGCACGUAUACAUAUAUGCGUGCAUAUACGCACGUAUACAUAUAUGUGUGCAUAUACGCACGUAUACCUAUAUGUAUGCAUAUACACAUGUAUACAUAUAUACACACAUAUAUGUAUACAUACAUAUAUAUAUAUAUAUAUACACGAUUUUAGCAUUACUUAUUACUGAGGAUGUUACUCUUAAUCACUUAGUUCAGGUUGCCCGGUUUCUCCACUGUAAAGUUACUGUUUUUCUGUUUCCAUCCUCUAUGCUUUGGAAGUGAGUUACUAAAUUUAGUCCACAUUUAAGGGAAGCAGAAUUAACCUCCAUAUCUGGAGGGGUAUCUACCUGUAUAUAUGUAUUUAUUUUUGGGAAAUUUUCUCUAAGGAAGAUUUUUUUUCUCUCCCUUAUUUAUUUGGUCAUCUGUUUCUAUCAUUCUGGAUUCGUGAAUAAUUAUUAAUUUGUUAAUUAUACAUAAUCCCACAUCUUUUUUUUGGAGCUAUUGCUUACUUUCUGGUACAAGGUAGUAUAGGCUUAUCUUGUAUUCUCCCUGCACCAGCCUUACUUUUAGCCAUUUUAAUAAGGAGCCCGGGUACUUUUUAUUGAAAAAUACAUUUAGAAACCAUGGUCUGAGCACUGAGUGCCCUUUUAGUUACUGAGGUAGCACUGAUUCUGUACCUCCUAAACAGAAAGCUAGAAAAUAUAUGUAUGCAUAGUAAUGUUUGGAUCUAUUUAAUUAUUUUUACAUACACAUGUAUGUAGCUAUGUGUCCAUUAAAGUAAACAUGAAUGUACAGUGAUAUCUGACUCUUAUUUGAGAUUAGCUCUCAUACUUGCUUAUUUUAUUUAUAUAUUUAUUUUUUGAGACCGAGUCUUGCUCUGUUGCCCAGGCUGGAGUGCAGUGGCAUGAUCUCGGCUCACUGCAACCUCUGCCUCCCGGGUUCAAGUGACUCUUCUGCUCCAGCCUGGGCAACUGAGCAAGACUCUGUCUCCAAAAAAAAAAAAAAAACAAAACAGUCUGGGUGCUGUGGCUCACACCUGUAAUCCCAGCGCUUUGGGAGGCCGAGGUGGGCAGAUCAUGAGGUCAGGAGAUCGAGACCAGCCUGGCCAACGUGGUGAAACCUCGUCUCUACUAAAAAUACAAAAAAUUAGCCAGGCAUAGUGGUGCGCACCUGUAAUCCCAGCUACUUGAGAGGCUGAGGCAGGAGAAUCGCUUGUACCCAGGAGGCGGAGGUUGCAGUGAGCAGAGAUCGCACCAUUGCACUCCAGCCUGGGUGACAGAGCAAGACUUAGUCUCAAAACAACAACAACAACAACAAAACUUCUUUCUCUAAUAGUAAGAAAACUGAGUCCUGUUAUCUAUAUUUACUUGUUUGUUCUACUUUACUAUACAUUUAAAGUGGUUUUAUAACUGCCUAAGUUCCUGUAAAAAUUUUAUCAGUUAGCAUUAAUAUUGUACCUUUAUUACAGUUUCUAAAAAUGCUCAAGUGUUUUCACAUUAUUCCUUGUAGAUGUCAUAUAGUUUAUCUUUUUACCUUUAGGUCCAUGAUCCAUUUUAAUUAAUAUUUGAAUGAGCGAGGUAAUAUGUUGUCACUUUUUUUGGUAUGUGGUCCUCUAGUUGUUUCAGCACCUUUUGUUAAAGAGAUUGCAGGCCAUGCACAGUAGCUCACGCCUGCAAUCCCAGCACUUUGGGAGGCCGAGGCCGGCGGAUCACGAAGUCAGGAGUUCGAGACCAGCUUGGCCAAUAUGGUGAAACCCCGUCUCUACUAAAAAUACAAAAAUCAGCCAAGUGUGGUGGCAGGCGCCUGUAGUCCCAGCUACUCGGGAGUCUGAGGCAGGAGAAUCGCUUGAACUCGGGAAGCGGAGGUUGAAGUAAGUCGAGAUGGUGCCACUGCACUCCAGCCUGGGCGACAGAGCGAGACUUGGUCUCAAAAAGAGCUUAUCUUUCCUAUAUUGUAUGGUUUUUGCAUUUGUGUUGAAAAUAACUAGAUUUGCAUGGUAUUUUUCCGGACUGCUUAUUCUUUUCCAUUGAUAUUUGUAUUUAUUGUUUCUCCAAUACCACAUGGUAUUACUAAGUAUUUAUUUUAAGUCUAUAAAUGAGGUAGUAUGAACUUUCAACCUUUUUUAUUUUUCAUGAUUGUUUUCGCUAAUUUCUUUGCUUUUUAACUUAAAUUUUUGAAUAAAUUUGGCAAUAGCUACAAGAAGACGUUGCUGAAAUUUUGGUUGGUAUGUUAUUGAAUCUAUUAGAUGAAAUUGGAGAGCAUUUGUACCUCACUGAGUCUCCUGAUUCAUGAACCUAGUAUUUCCUAUUUAUCCAGAUCUUUUUUCAUUUAUUUCAUCAAUGUUUUGUAGUUUUCAGCCUAUAAAUCCUGACAUAUUUUGUUAGAUUUAACAAAUGAUGUAAGAACUUCAUUUUGGGGGUGCUGUGAUUAAAAUUGUGUUGUUUGUAUUUUUUUCAUUUCAAAUUCCAGUUAUUUAUAGCUGCUGUUAUGUGAACAUGAUUGAUUUUUGUUUAUUGGCCUUGUGUUCUGCAACCUUGUUCAACUCACCAUUUUUGUUCUAAAAGGUUUUUUGUUUUUUUUUGUUUUUGUUUUUUGAGAUGGAGUCUCGCGCUGUUGCCCAGGCUGGAGUGCAGUGGCACGAUCUCUGCUCACUGCAUCCUCCGCCUCCCAAGUUCAAGCGAUUCUCCGGCCUCAGCCUCCCAAGUAGCUGGGAGUACAGGCACCCGCCACCACGCCCAGCUAUUUUUUUGUAUUUUUAGUAGAGACGGAAUCUCACUAUGUUGGCCAGGCUGGUCUUGAACUCCUGACCUUGUGAUCUGCCCCCCCCCCCCCCCCCCCGCCUCCCAAAGUGCUGGAUUACAGGCGUGAACCACCGUGCCCAGCCUAAAAGGUUUUUUUAAAUAUAGAUUAUUUGAUAUUUUCCAGACACACAAUUGUUUUCUGCAAGUAAGAGUCUUUUUUUAUUUCUUCCUUUGCAAUGUAUGUGCCCUAUAAUUGUUUUUCUGGCUUUAUAGGCCUUCUAAUACAAUGUUGAAUAGGGCAGGGUGGGAGGGCAUACUUUACUAGUAGUUUUCCACUCUGCAUGUUACCUGUAGGUCUUUCAUAGAUGCCCUUUAUUAGGUUAAGCACCUCCAUUCUAUUUUUAGUUUUCUGGGAGUUUUUAUUUUGAAAAUAUGUUGAAUUUGCCAAAUGCGUUUUCCUGUAUUGACAUGAUUGUGCGGUCUUCAUUAAAUUAUUGAUACUGAAUUUUAUUUAUUGAUUGUUUUUAAAUGUUGAACCAACUUUGCAUUCCUUGUAUGAAACCCAGCUGAUUGUGAUGUAUUAUUAUUUUUUUUUUUUUUGAGACGGAAUCUUGCUCUGUCACCCAGGCUGGAGUGCAGUGGCACUAUCUCGCUCACUGCAAGCUCCGCCUCCUGGGUUCACGCCAUUCUCCUGCCUCAGCCUCCCGAGUAGCUGGGACUACAGGUGCCCGCCACCAUGCCCGGCUAAUUAUUUUUUGUAUUUUUAGUGAGAUGGGGUUUCACCGUGUCAGCCAGGAUGGUCUCGAUCUCCUGACCUCGUGAUCCACCCGCCUUGGCCUCCCAAAGUGCUGGGAUUACAGGCAUGAGCCACCAUGCCUGGCCUAUCAUUUUUUUAUAUUGCUGGAUUUGAUUUGUAAAUAUUUUGUUGACAAGUUUCUAUUUAUGCCCAUUAGAUUGACUUGUAGUUUCCUAUUUAAAUUUUUUUUAAACACUGUGUAUAUUAUAUAUUUGGGGCACAGUGUGAUAUUUUGAUAUAUGUUUAUAUCAUGGAAUGAUUGAAUCAGCCUAAUUAAAUCCAUUACCUCACAUACUUACCAGUUUUUUAAUGGUGAAAACAAUUAAAAUCUAAUCUAUUAGCAAUUAUGAAAAAUGCAGUACAUUAUUAUUUAUUAUACUCACCAUUGUGUGCAGUAGAUCAACAUCUCCCCUUUCCCCGUCCACCUCACUUUUCCAGUCACUGGUAACCACUAUUCUACUCUAUGUCUAUGAGUUUGACUUUCUUAGAUUCUACAUAUAAGUGAGAUCUUGUGGUAUUUGUCUUUUGGUGCCUGGCUUUUUUCACUCACAUGAUGUCCUCCAGGUUUAUCCAUGUUGUCACAAAUAACAGGAUUUCCUUCUUUUUUAAGGCUGAAUAGUAUUCUGUUAUGUACGUAUAUCAUAUUUUCUUUAUUCAUUUAUCUGAUGAUGGACAUGUAAGUUGCUCCUAUAUCUUAGCUAUUGCAAAUAAUGAUGUAAUGAACACAAGAGUGCAGAUAUCUCUUUGACAUACUGAUUUCAAUUCCUUUGGAUAUGUACCCAAAAGGGAGAUUGUUGAAUUAUCUGUAAAUUUAUUUUUAGUUUUUUGAGGAACCUGUACUGUUUUCCAUAAUGGCUAUAUUAAUUGACAUUCUUCACCAACUGCACAAGGAUUCCCUUUUGUACACAACCUCACCAACACUUAACAUCUUUUUUGUUUUUGGUAAUAGCCAUGCUAACAGGUAUGAGGUGAUACUUCAUUGUGGUUUUAAUUUGCAAGUGAUAAUGAACAGUUUUUCAUAUGUCCAUUGACCAUUUGUAUGUUUUCUUUUGAGAAAUGUAUGUUUAGGUCCCUUGCCCAUUUUUAAAUUGGGUUCUUGGUUUUCUUGCUAUUGAAUUGUUGGAGUUCCAUAUAUUUUGAAUAUUAGCUCAUUAUUUCAUAUGUGAUUUGCAAAUAUUUUAUCCCAGUUUGUGGGUUGUUGCUUUACUCAAUUGUUUCCUUUGCUGUGUAGUUAACUUUUUAGUUUGAUGCAAUCCCAUUUUAAAUUAAAAUUUUUGUUUUAGUUGUCUGUGCUUUUGGAGGUCAUAUUUAUGAAAUCUUUGCACAGACCAAUGUUGUGGAGCAUUUUCCCUAUGUUUUAUUCUAGUAGUUUUACAGUUUCUGGUCUAAUGUCUUUAAUUCAUUUUGAGUUCUUUUCUGUAUAUGGUAUGAGACAAAGGUCUGAUUUGAUUCUUCUAUAUGUGGAUAUACAACUUUCCCAACACCAUUUACUGAAGAGGCUGUCCUUUCUCCAUUGUACGUUCUUGGUACCUUUGUCAAAAGCCACUUUAACGUAAAUGUCUGGGUUUAUUUGUAAUUCUCAUUUGUUGUAAUGUUUUUCUCUGCUUUUGUGAUCAGGGUAAUGCUAGCCUCGUAAUUGGAAUAUGUUUUCUCCCCUUCUAUUUAAUGAACUAAUUGUGUAGAAUUGAUAUUGUUUCUUCCUUGAUUGUUUGGUAGAAUCCACCAUUGAAACCAUGUAGGCCUACAGUUUUUAUCUUUAGGAGGUUUAUAACUUUCAAUUUAACUUAUUUACUAGAAAUAGAGCUAUUCAGGUUUUCUUGGCAAAUUUUGGUAGUCUGUGUCUUUCACAUAAUCAUUCCAUUUCAUGUAACUUAGCAAAUUCAUAGGCAUAGAAUUGUAUUCCUUCAUUAUCCUCUUAAUGUCUUUGGCAUCAUUUUAUGGUACUGAUGAUUUAUAUCUUCUCUAUUUCUGUGAGCCUGGCUAGAGGUUGUUCAGUUUUGUCAGUGUUGUCAAAUAAUCAGCUUUUUUUUUUUUUUUUUUUGAGACAGAGUCUUGCUCUUGUCGCCCAGGCUGGAGUGCAAUGGCAUGAUCUCGGCUCACUGCAACCUCCACCUCCUGGGUUCAAGCGAUUCUUCUGCCUCAGCCUCCGGAGUAGCUGGGAUUACAGGCGCCCGCCACCACACCCGGCUAAUUUUUGUAUUUUUAGUAGAGAUGGGGUUUCGCCAUGUUGGCCAGGCUGGUCUCGAACUCCUGACCUCAGGUGAUCCACCUGCCUUGGCCUCCCAAAGUGCUGGGAUUACAGGCAUGAGCCACCGUGCCCAGCCUCAGCUUUUGGUUUUAUUGAUUUCUUUCUUUUGUAUGUUUCUGUUUUUUCGUUUUUUGUUUUGGAUUCCUGCUCUCAAUGUUUAUUAUUCCCUUUCUUCAUCUUGCUUUAUAUUUACUUUGCUCUUCUUUCUCUGGUUCCUUUGAGACAAACUUUGGUUACUGACUUUAGAUAUUAUUUUUUAAUGUAUAUAUUGAAUGCUAUAAACUUCCCUGUUAACACUGCUUUGUCUGCAUCCUAUAUGUUUUGAUAUAUUGUAUUUAUAUUGUUCUUUAGUUCAAUCCAUGUUUUAAUUUCUCAUGAGACUUUGUUUGUUACCUAUGUGUUAUUUGAAAGUUUCUUGUUUCAUAUCCAAUUGUUUGAGGGAAUUUUCCAGAUUUUUUUUUUUCAUUUCUAAUUUGUAUGAUCUCAGGAUGCACCUUGUAUUUUUUUCUAUGUUUAAAUAAUUAAUUGAGGUUUAUUUAAUAAGCCAAAACAUGAUCUGUCUUUGUGAAUGCUACAUAUAAUUGAGAAGAAUAUGUAUUCUGUUGUUGCUUAAAGUGUUCUAUCAUUAUAUGAAGUUGUUUGAUAGUAAUGUUCAGGCCUUCCAUAUCAUUUGUGAUUUUUUACUUGUUUUAUUAAUUUCUUAGCAGUGUUCAAAUCUCAAACUAAUUUUAGAUAUGCCUACUUGUUUUUUCAUACCUCAUUUAUUGUCUUAUUCAUUUUGAAAACCUUUGAUUAGGUGCGUAUACCUAUAAGAUUAUUAUGUGUUCUUGGGGAAAUAACUGUCUUUUCAUGAGGUUUCUCUUUAUCCUUUGAUAAUCUUUCCUGUUCUGAUGUCUAUUUUGUUUCAUAUUAAUAAAUAUUUUCAACCUAUUUCUUUGGUUAGUGUUUUAUGCUGUAUCUUUCUCCACCCUUGUACUUUUAAUCAUUGUAUGCCUUUAUAGUUUGUGUAUGUAUGUAUUUCACAGUAAGUAGGUGGGUGGUUGGGUUUUUAGGUAGGUAAGUAGGCUAAAUAGAUAGGUGGGUUGGCUUGUGUUUUAUUCCAUGUGACAGUGUUCAUCCUUUUACUGGUGGUGUUUAGACCAUUACAAUUUAAAAAAAAACUUUAUUUGGGCAAAACUUAUAUAAUUUACUCAUUUUAAGGGUACAAUUAAAUUAUUUUUAGUAAAUUUAGUGAGUUCUGCAACUAACACCAUUAUUCCAGUUUUGUAAUGUUUUUACCACCCCAGUAACAUUUUUCAUACCACUUUACAGUUAACCUUUGUUCCCAUCCUCACCCCCAGGCAAAUACUAAUCUACUUUCAUCUAUGUUGAUUUGCCCUUUCUGGACCUUCCAUACAAUUAGAAUCAUAUAACAUAUAGUAUUUUAUGUCUCAGUUCUUUUACAUGGGUUAAUUAUUUUGAGGUUUGUCUAUAUUAUUAUAUGUAUCAGCCUUUCAUUUAGUUUAUUUGUAAAUAAUAUUCAAUUGUGUCAAUAUGUCUCAUUUUCUUUCUCCAUUAAACACUUGAUGGGAAUUUAAGUAGUUUCUGUGUUUUGGCAAUUAUCAAUUAUGCGUCUGUUGACAUUCAUGUGGAAAUAUUUAAGCGGACGUGCUUUCAUUUCUCUUAUGUAGGAUUUUUUGGAUAAUAUGGUAAUUUGACUUUUUAAGAAUCUGGCAAACUCUUUUCCAAAGUGACUGUACUACAUUACAUUCCUAUCAGCAAUAUAUGAGGGUUAGUGAUUUUCUACAUAUUUGUCUACAUUUAUUACUGUCUUUUAUUAAAACCAUUUUUGUGAAAGUAAAAUUAUCUCAUUGUGGUUUUAUUGCAUUUCCUUAAUGACUAAUGGAGUAGGAAAUAUUUCAUGUUCUUAUUAGCCAUUCUUCUUUGGUGAAAUGUGUAUUUAAAUCUUUUGCAUAAUUUUUAAAUCUGGCAAUAGAAGUUGUCCAAAUCUGUACUUUUGUCUGUUCAGGGUCUUUUGCAUUUUUAUGUGAAUUUUAGAAUAAACUUGUUAAUUUCUGAAAAAAGCCUGCUGUUAUUUUGAUAGGGAAUGUAAUGAAUCUAUAUAGAUUAGUUUUGGGAGAAUUACCAUCUUAGCUAUAAUAACGCAUCUUUUUUUUUUUUUUUUUUCUUCUGAGAUGGAUUCUUGCUCUGUUACCCAGGCUGGAGUACAGUGGCACGAUCUUGACUCACUGCAAAUCCCACCUCCCGGGUUCAAGCAAUUCUCCUGCUUCAGCCUCCCGAGUAGCUGGGAUUACUGGUGCCCAUCACUGCACCCAGCUCAUUUUUUUGUACUUUUAGUGGAGACAGGGUUUUACCAUGUUGGCCAGGCUGGUCUUGAACUCCUGACCUCAUGAUCCACCCGCCUCGGCCUCCCAAAGUGCUGGGAUUACAGACGUGAGCCACUGCGCCCAGCCAAUAACGCAUCUUAAACAUGAAAUAUCUCCCCAUUUAUUUUGGUCUUUUAAAAUUUUCUUCAACAACAUUGUGUAGCUUUCUUUAUACAAAUCUUGCAGGUGUUUUGUUGAAUUAUUCCUAAAGAUUUAGUCUUUUUGGUGCUAUUUUGUAUGGAAUUGAUUUCUUAAUUUCAUUUUUGGAUCAUUCAUUGCUAGUAUGAAAACAGAACAAUUUAUUAUAUAGGUUUUUUGUUUUUUUUUUUUUUUUUAGAUGGAGUUUUUGCUCUUGUUGCCCAGGCUGGAGUGCAGUGGUGGAUAUUGGCUCACUGCAACCUCUGUCUUCUGGGUUCAAGCAAUUCUCCUGCCUUCUGAGUAGCUAAGUAUUACAGGCGCCCACCACCACGCCUGGCUAAUUUUUUUGUAUUUUUAGUAGAGAUGGGAUUUCAUCACGUUGGCCAGGCUGGUCUUGAACUGCUGACCUCAGGUGAUCCACCCACCUCAGCCUUCCAAAGUGCUGGGAUUACAGGUGUGAGCCACCGCACCCAGCCUAUAGGUUUGUAUUCUACAGCCAACUCUUCUCAGAGGAAGUAUAGAUAGAUAUGUAUACUAACCCAUGUAUAGCUACAUAUUUAUACACAUUUUUAUAUGUAACUAUCGAUUUUUUUAAGUUAAAUGUGAGUUCAUACUGGUAUUUCUAACUAAUCCAUUACCACAUGGUUAAUUCUAGUCAUAUCUCCUUGUUUGUCUGUCCUCACUCUCUCACUCCAAUAGGAAAGAGCCUGUCUCCUAACAUUUACCAUUCAUUUACAUAAUUGUACUAUCCCAUUAUACAGGUAUAACUGUUUCAGAAUUGUUGAUUUUUACCCUUACUGGAAACAACUCUAUCAACUGGAGUAUAAUGCUUAUGUAUAGCUUCUUUUGCAUUUAGUCUUACAGACUCCACUUAUUAAUGGUGAGAGACUGGACAUACUGCUCAGAUCGGGAACAAUGCAAAGAUGUCCUCUCUCACCACUCCUAAUACAAGAAAAGGAAAUAUAGACUGGAAGGGAAAAAAUAAAUCUUUAUUUGUAGAUUAUAAGAUUGUCUACAUAGACGUUUUUAGAGCAUCUCCAGAAACCUAGAACUAACAAAUGGGAGUAAGAAGGACACAAGGUAUUACAGUUACUUUUCAUUUUCUGUUAGUUUUGGCAUCUCAUAUUUAAGUCUGGUUUUCAAGAUUGCAUUCUUUUCAGAUGGUAUUUUUUUCUUUGUUUUUGUAUACAUUAUAAUGUUGAGAGUCAAACAUAUAAAGUAGUAGAUACUGAGGUAUAUAUAUGUAUUUUCUUUGCGAUAAGCACACCUUUCCUUCAUCUAGGCUAUUAGCGUGGAGGUUUUUGUGAAAUUAGUCAGGAGUUGGUCUGGGAUUGAAGUUUUGUUGUUACCAUGGUUACUCUCUGUGUAUCAGAAACUUCAAACCCUAUAAUGAUACCUUGUUUUUGUGUCCUUGUUUGGCGUGGGUUUUCACCUUUUCACUCUUCUCUAGAGAAGGCCUGUGGUUUUCAGCUUUCCCCUGUGCAUUACUUUAAUUUUAUUUGAUGUUUAGUCUGUGGUUGGGGCGAAAAAGAGGCAUGUUCUCUAAUGUUCUAAUUUAAACUCAGUCUUAAGUAGGCACUGUGAAUCUGGGUCUUGUGGGUGUGGCUGUCAUAAGUCUUUCUUUUCCAGUCAAUGCCUAGUAUUUAUUCCCAUUCCUCCCCUAUGGCUAAAGCUUUAUGUGUUCCUUACCUCCUUACCCAGCCCCUGUUGCUUCCACUCCAGGGUGUCCCUGCAAAUUGCUCUAAGGUUUUUGCUUCUUAGGCGAGAUAGGAGACGGGCCUCUGGGGAAUUUUGGUCUGCUUUAUAUUCCCUUCCACUGCUUCAUGAUCUUUUCUGUAAAUGAAGAACUUUUUUUGGUGGGGCGUGGUGGUUCACGCCUGUAAUCCCAUCACUUUGGGAGGCCGAGGCGGGCGGAUCACCUGAGGUCAGGAGUUUGAGACCAGCCUGACCAACAUGGAGAAACCCUGUCUCUACUUAAAAUACAAAAUUAGCUGGGUGUGGUGGUGCAUGCCUGUAAUCCCAGCUACUCAGAAGGCUGAGGCAGGAGAGUCACUUGAACCCGGGAGGUGGAGGUUGCGGUGAGCCGAGAUCGCGCCAUUGCACUCCAGCCUGGGCAACAAGAGCGAAACUUUUUUUUUUUUUAAGAAAGGUAGAUUGGGGCAGAUUUUCAGCCAUAGCUGCUACUCCUUUCCCCCAGAUAGUACCAAAGGGGUCUUUCUCUGUGAUCUCUGAUCUUUCCUGUGGCUUCCUAUUGAUAACAGCUGCAGGUGGCUGCAACCCCACCCCCAUAUUUGAAACCUGAGGGGAUUCCUAUUCUCAGGCCAGCCCACACUUGGCCUUUAGCAAUUUAUUGUAAUUUCUAGUUAAAUCUUUCUACCUGCUUUUAUAUUGAUUUUCAUGGCAUUUGUCCCAGUAAUCAAAUGCUCAGAUUCUGUUUUCCCCUGCAGGCACCUACCAUUUUUUUAGAUUUCUGUAUUUUUUUUUUUCCUGUAACUUCAGUUCUCUGAUAGGGUCAAGAAAAUCAUAACUUUGCUUUUGUCAAGCCUUUUCUAAGUGAGGUAGUGAUGUUGUUUCUAGUGCCCUAUAUAUUUGAGAUUUGUUGUCUUUGUUAUUUUUGUUUAUUUCUGUUUCUUAUUUUUUCUUCUGUAUCAUUUGAACAUUUUUUAGUAUUUUAUUUUAUUUAUUUAUUUUUUUUUGAGAUGGAGUUUCGCUCUUGUCGCCCAGGCUGGAAUGCAGUGGUGUGAUCCCAGCUCACUGCAACCUCCGCCUCCCGGGUUCAAGCGAUUCUCCUGCCUCAGACUCCCAAGUAGCUGGGGUUACAGGUGCCCGCCACUAUGCCUGGCUCAUUAUUUUUAUGUUCAGUAGAGACGGGGUUUCACCAUGUUGGUCAGGCUUGUUUUGAACUCCUGACCUCAGGUGAUCCACCUGCCUUGGCCUCCCAAAGUGCUGGGAUUACAGGCGUGAGCCACCGCGCCCAGGCUUUAAUAUUCCAUUUUAAUUAUCUUUAUUUAUUUAUUUAUUUUGAGACAGAGUCUCGCUCUGUUGCUCAGGCUGGAGUGCAAAUGGCACAAUCUCAGCUCACUGCAACCCCCGCCUCCUGGGUUCAAGCACUUCUUCUGCCUCAGGCUCAUGAGUAGCUGAGACUAACUACAGGUGCAUGCCAUCACGCCCAGCUAAUUUUUGUAUUUUCAGUAGAGGCAGGGUUUUGCUAUGUUGGCCAGGGUAGUCUCGAACUCCUGACCUCAGGUAAUCUGCCUGCCUCGGCCUCCCAAAGUGCUGGGAUUAUAGGCAUGAGCCACCGUGCCCGGUCUUAAUUAUCUUUUAUACAUUCGAAUUGUCUCAUAAAUACAUAUCUAACAGUUUAUGUAGAUUCAGUGUUUUACCACUUCAGGUAAAACAUAGAAGCCUUACAUCCAUAUAAAGCUCUUUAUACUCCCUCACUGAUUCUUUAAGUAGUUGCCAUGUGUUUUACAUUUGCAUUGUGUUUCUGCUUUCAGGAGUCAUACAUAUUUUAAAGAACUUAAGAGGAGAAAAAUAGUCUUUUAUAUUUACUCAGUAAUUUACCACUUCUUUUUUUUUUUUUUAAACCAGUUCUUUGUUCUCUCAUUUUUAAAGAUCUAAGCUUUCCCUGGGUAUCAUUUCCCUUCAGACUAAAGAACUCCCUUUAUCAUUUAAUCAGCACUCUGCUUGAGGUGAAUUGUCUUAAUUUCCCUUCAUCUAGGAAUGUGUUCAUUUCACCUUCAUUCCUGAAAGACAUUUUCAAUCACUGGAUAUAGAAUUGUUAAUUGAUGGGAUUUUUUUCUUGUUGCUCUUUAAAGUUAUUUUUCUACUACUGUCCUUCAUCGUUUCUGAUAAAAAAUUUGCCGUCGUUUGAAUCAUUGCUUCCUCAGAUGUAAUGUGCUGUUUUUUUAAUAGCUGCUUUCAAAUUUUUUCCUUUGUCUUUGAUUUUCAACAGUUUAUAGUAUUUCUGGGUGUGUCUUUUCAGUUUAUAUUGUUUGGUUUUGCUGAAGUUGUUUAAUAUGUAGAUUUAUCUUUUAUCAGAUUGGGAAGUUUUUGGCUGUUAUUUCUACAAACUUUUUUUCUGCAUGAUUUUUUUUUCUCAUUCUGAGACUAUGAUGACAUGUAUAUUAGAUAUUGUGAUAUUGUUCCAUAGGUCCUGAGGUGCUGUUUGUUCUGUUUCAAUCUAUUUUUUAUUUAUUUAUUUAUUUUAUUAUUUUUUUUGAGACGGAGUCUUGCUCUGUCGCCCAGGCUGGAGUGCAGUGGCAUGAUCUCAGCUUACUGCAAGCUCCGCCUCUCGGGUUCACGCCAUUCUCCUGCCUCAGCCUCCCAAGUAGCUGGGAGUACAGGCACCUGCCACCAUGCCCAGCUAAUUUUUUUGUAUUUUUAGUAGAGACGGGGUUUCACCAUGUUAGCCAGGAUGGUCUUGAUCUCCUGACCUCGUGAUCCGCCCGCCUCAGCCUCCCAAAGUGCUGGGAUUACAGGCUUGAGCCACCGCGCCUGGCUCAAUCUAUUUUUUAAUUCUAUUUUUCAGAUUGGGUAAUUUCUGUUGAUCUGUCUUCAAAUUCUGUUUCAUGUUCCUGGCUGCAUUCUGUUAUUGAGAUCUUCAGUGGAUAUUUUUUAUUGUGAAUGUUGUAUGUUUUCAUUAAAAAAACUCAAUUUGGUUCUUUAAGUGUUAUUAAGGUAUAAUAUCAUACCAUAAAAUUAUCUAUUGUAAGUAUACAAUUCACCUAGUUUUAGUAAACUUAUGGCUUGAAGUUGUCAUCAUAAUCCAGUUUAGAACAUUUCAUUAUUUCCAAAAGUUUCCUCAAGUCACUUCUGCUCCCAUCCCAGGCUACCGUGAUAUCCUCUGUCUGUAAGUUUACCCUUUCUAGACAUUUCAUGUAAAUGAAAUCGUACGAUAUUUAUUCCGUUGAAUCUGACCUCCUUCAUUUAUUAAAAUGUUUCUGAGAUUUAGUCAUGUGGUAGCAUUAAUAAGUAUUUCAUUCCUUUUUAGAGCUGAAUGUUGUUCAGUUUUACUAAUGUCACAUUUUGUUUCUCCAUGCAGCACUUGACUGAAAGUUGGAUUGUUUCCUUUUUUUGGUGGUGGGGGGGGGCUAUUAUGAUGAAUAAACAUUGCUGUGAACAUUAAUGUAAAUGUCCUAGUAUAUUUUCUUUUCUAUUCUGUAGAUUCUUUGGAAUAGAAUAGCUGGGUUGUACAGCAAAUAUUUAUUCAGCUUUUAAAGAAACUACCAAACUGAUUUCCAAUGUGGAUAUACUAUUUUACAUUUUCACCAGCAAUGUAUGAGUUAACAUUUCUCCACAUCAUCACUUGUUAUUACCUGAUUAUAGCCAUUCUAAUUGGUGUGAAGUAGUAUCUCAUUAUGAUUUUGUUUUGCAUUUUCUUAAACUGUAUGAGAUUGAGCAUCUUUUCAUUUGCUUAUUGGUCAUUUGUAUGUCUUUGAUGAAAUAUCUAUUUAAAUCUUUUCUCCAUUUAAAGUUAUUUUCUUAUUGCAUUGUAAGAGUUCUUUAUAUGUAUUUUGUACUCAAGUGUUUUAUCAGAAAUAUGAUUUACAUAUUUUUUCUCAGUCUGUAGCUUGUCUUUUUAUUUUCUUAAUGGUGUCAUUUGAAGUGCUAAAAUUUUUAAUUUUCGUGAAGUCCAUUACAUCAGUUAUUUUCUGUGUCUCAUUUUUCAUAAGUUUUAUACUCUGUUGAUUAGUUUUAAAGUAAGUUUUAAAGUUGGGUAGUGACAGAUCUCCUACUUUGUUGUUUUUCAAAAUUAUUUCAGGUGAUCCACAUUCUUUGCAUUUAAAAUGAGCUUGCAAUUUUCUACAAAAAAAGCCUUCUGGGAUUUUGAUAGGGAUUGUAUUGAAUUUAUAGAUCAACAUGAUGAGACGUGCCUUCAUAAUUAUAUAUUGCAUUGUCAAAUCCAUGAACAAGGAUUUUCAUAUAUUUUCAUCCAUUUAUAUAUCUACUUCAAUUUCUCCAUGCAAUAUUUUGCAGUUUUUAAUGUAUAAAUCUUUCUCUUCUUUUGUUAAAUUUAUUCUUAAGUAUUUUACUCUUUUUGAUGCUAUUCAGAAUAGAGUUCUCUUAAUUUCAGUUUAUUGCUAGUAUAUAGAUAUAUAGUUGAUUUUAAUCUUGUAUCCGAUUACUUCCUUAAACUUUGUUAUAGUAGUUUUACUGUGAAAUUCUUAGGUUAAGAAUAAGGAUUUCAUAAUAGAACUACAAAUAGGAUCAUUUCAUAUGCAAAUAAGGACAAUUUUAUUUCUUCUCCAAUCUCAUUGUCUUUAAUUUUUUUUCCUUAUUUACUGCCUAGAACUCCUAGUACAGCGUUGACUAGAAGUGGUGAGAAAGCUGGCACAGUGGCUCAUGCAAGUAAUCCCAGCGCUUUGGGAGGCCAGGGCGGGUGGAUCGCUUGAGUCCAGGAGUUCAAGACUACCCUGGGCAACAUGGCGAAACCCUGUCUCUACAAAAAAAAAAUAUAUAGUAGCCAGGCAUGGUGGCAUGCGCCUGUAGUCCCAGCUGCCAGGGAGGCUGAGGUGGGAGGAUUACUUGAGUCUGGGAAGUCAAGGCUGCAGUGAGCCAUGAUUGUGCCACUGCACUCCAGCCUGGGCAACAGAGACCCCGUCUCAAAGAAAAACAAACAACUCCCCCCCCACCACACACAAAAGGAGUGGUGAGAAUGGGAAUCUAUGUCUUAUUCCCAUCUUCUGGAGAAAGUAAAGCAUUAAGUCUUUCUCCAUUAAGAAUGACGUUAGUUAUAGGUUUUUGUUAUUGUUGUCUUAUAGGUUUCUUUUGUUAGAUUAAGUAAGUUCUUUUUCAUUCUCACUUUUAGGAGAGUUUUAAAGCCUUGAAUGGGUUUUCAGUUUAGUCAAAUGCUAUUUUUAUGUCCAUCGAGGUGAUAAUAUAUAUAUUUUAAAUGUAAUAUAUUGAACUGCAUUGAUUGAAUUUUGAGUUAUGAAACAGGCCUACAUUUUAUGAUAAACCCUACUUUCUCAUGAUAUAAUUUAUCCAAUUUGCAUAUUGUUGGAUUAGAUUUCCUAAUAUUUUGUUAAGAAUUGUUGCAUUUGAGUCAACUUAGGUACCCAAAUGGUUGGCUAGAUAAAAUGUGGUAUAUUUAUAUCAUGUAAUACUAUACAGCCAUAAAAAAUGAAACCAUGUCCUUUGCAGCAACAUGGAUAUAGCUGGAGACCUUUAUCCUAAGCAUAUUAAUGCAGGAACGGAAAAGCAAAUACCCCAUGUUCUCCCUUAUUCAUGAGAACUAAACAUGAGUACACAUGUUCACAUAAAUGUCUAAUGUGAACAAUAGACACCAGGGCCUACUCAAGAGAGGGUGGUGGAAGGAGGGUGAAGAUCAAAAAACUACCUAUUGGGUACUAUGCUCACUACCUGGGUGAUUAAAUAAUUUGUACACCAAACCCCAGUGACACAGAAUUUACCCAUGUAACAAAACUGCACAUGUAUACCUUGAAACCAAAAUAAAAGUUGAAAAAAAAAAAAAAACCACCCAUGGAUUGUUGCAUUUAUCUUCAUGAGGAAGAUUGGAAUGUGAUUUCCUUUUCUUAUAAUGUCUUUAUGAGGUUUUAGUAUCACGGUGUUUAUGGCCACAUUAAAAUGAGUAGGACAGUAAGUAAUACCUCUUCAGUUUUCUGUAAUGAUUUUUUUAGAAUCCAUAUUUUAUUUUAUUUUAUUUUUUUGAGACGGAGUCUUGCUUUGUUGCCCAAGCUGGAGUGCAGUGGCGUGAUCUCGGCUCACUGCAACCUCUGCCGCCUCGUUUCAAGCGAUUCUCCCUGCCUCAGUCUCCCAAGUAGCUGGGAUUGCUGGUGUGCGCCACCACAUCCAGCUAAUUUUUUUUGUAUGUUUAGUAGAGAUGGGGUUUCACCAUGUUGGCCAGGCUGGUCUGGAACUCCUGACCUCAGAUCAUCCGCCCACCUCGACCUCCCAAAGUGCUGGGAUUACAGGUGUGAGCCACUGCAUCCGGCCUAGAAUCCAUAUUUUUUAAUCCUUGAAUGUUUUGGUAGAAUUCACUUGUGAAUUUAUCAGUGAAACAGCUUGGUCUGUUGUUUUCCUUAUGGAAGUUUUAAAAUUACUAAUUCUAUGUCAUUAAUGGAUAUAUGAAUAUUCAGGUUAUAUGUAGAUAUAUUUGUUGUUGUUGUGUUGUUUUGUUUUGUUUUUUGAGAUGAAGUCUCGUUCUUGUCCCCCAGGCUGGAGUGCAAUGGCGCCAUCUCGUCUCACUGCAACUUCCGCCUCCCGGGUUCAAGCGAUUCUCCUGCCUCAGCCUCCCAAGUAGCUGGGAUUACAGGUGCCUGCCACCACGCCCGAUUUUUUUUUUUUUUUCUUUUGAGACAUUCUCACUCUGUUGCCCAGGCUGGAGUGCACUGUGCAAUGGUGUGAUCGCGGCUCACUGCAACCUCCACCUCCGGGGUUCAAGUGAUUCUUGAGUCUCAGCCUCCCAAAGUACCUGGGACUAUAGGUGCGCACCACCACACCCGGCUAAUUUUUGUAUUUUUAGUAGCCACAGUGUUUCACCAUGUUGGCCAGGCUGGUCUCAAACUCCUAACUUCAGGUGAUCAGCCCGCCUCAGCUUCCCAAAGUGUUGGGAUUAUAGGUCUGAGCCACUGUGCCCAGCCAGGUUAUAUAUUUUUUGAACGAGCUUUGGUAGUUUGUAUCUUUUUUUUUUUUUUUUUUUUUGGAGACAGGGUCUCACUCUCUUGCUCAGACUGGAGUGCAGUGGCACGAUCUCGGCUCACCAGCACCCUCCACCUGGAGCGAUCUUGGCUUACUGGCACCCUCCACCUCCCAGGCUCAAAUGAUUCUCCUACCUCAGCCUCCCGAGUACCUGGGAUUACAAGUGCACACCAUUACCACCCAGCUAAUUUUUGUAUUUUUAGUAGAGACAGAGUUUUGCUAUGUUGACCAGGCUGGUCUUGAACUCCUGACCUCAAAUGAUCUACCUGCCUCGGCCUCCCAAAGUGCUGGGAUUACAGGUGUGAGCCACCGCACCCGGCCUCUAUAUUCUUUGGUAGUUUGUAUCUUAAGGAAUUAAAAGAUAAAAGGUGGAUAAGAAAAGAUUACUAAGGAAGUUAUUUCAUCGAUUUUUGGUUUGGUGUUUAUUAUUUUCUUAUUUUCUGCUUGCUUUUUGUUUAAUUUGUUCUUUUUCUAGUUUCUUAACUCCAAGUCACUGAAUUGAGGUUUUUCUUUUUCAAAUUGGCAUUUUGUGCUGUUUUUUUCUACAUACGUUUUUUGGUGUCACCCCACAUAUUCUGACAUUUUCAUUUUGAUUCUGUUCAAUAUACUUUCUGAUUUCCCUCUUGAUUUCUUUUUGGUCCUGGAAUGUGCUAUUUAGUUUAUGUAUAUUUAGGGAUAUUUCAGAGAUGUUUCUGUGACUGUUACCUAUUUUAAUUCUCAUAUGGUCAAAGAAUAUACUUUGUAUGAAUUACAUUUUUUAAAAAUUGGUUCAAGAUUGUUUUAUGACCCAGAAUGUGGUAUGUCUUGGUAAAUGUUCAGUGUCUUCUUUAAAAAAUGUGUGUUCUGCCAUUGUUGACUGAAGAGUUAUAAAAUAUCAGCUAGGUCAAGUAAGUCAUUUGAGUUUUCAAGUCUUUUAUAUCCUUAGUGAUUUUUCUAUCCACUUCUGUCAUUUAUGGAGAAAGAUAUAUUGAAGUCUUUCAAUCUAAUUGUGAAUUAGUCUGUUUUUCCUUGAAAUUCUAGUAAUUCUUGCUUAAUUUAUUUUGAAGCUCUGCAUAGACUUUUAACACUGUUAAGUCUAUCUUAACUUCUUUGUCAUUAUGAAAUGGUCUUCAUCCAUGGUAGUAUUCUUUGUUCAGAAAUCUGCUUUGUCUGCCCAAGGGGUCUUUGGUCUGUAGGAAAUUAACCCAUGAAGGAAAGAAAACUUGGAAAAAUAAUUUAAAAAAUGAUUGUUUUUUAAACAUAAAUCAUUUUUAAAUUAUUGAUUCCAAGGGAUUGCUGAUAAUAAAUUUGUUCAGGCUGUGUUAAGACUUGCAUCUUUUUUUUUUUUUUUUUUUUUUGAGACAGAGUUUCGCUCUUACUACCCAGGCUGGAGUGCAAUGGCGCAUCUCGGCUCACUGCAACCUCCGCCUCCUGGGCUCAAGUGAUUCUCCUGCCUCAGCCUCCUGAGUAGCAGGGAUUACAGGCAUGUGCCACCACACCUGGCUAAUUUUGUAUUUUUAGUAGAGACGAGGUUUCUCCAUGUUGGUCAGGCUGGUCUCAAACUUCCGACCUCAGGUGAUCCACCCACCUCGGCCUCCCAAAGUGCUGGGAUUACAGGUGGGAGCCACCGUGCCCGGCCAUUGCAUCAAUUUUUUAGUAAUAGAUGAUGAAGGCGAGUGCUAAAACUGUGAAGACUUAGAACAUUUUAAUAUUUCUGAAAAUUAACUUUUUUCAGUUUUGAAAAUUACAGCUUCUAAAUAAAAUACUGAAUUUUUAAAAACAAAAUUAGAUUUAAAUAUAUAAUGUUUAAAGAUAAAAAGUUUUAUGAUAAAAUAUGCCACAAACAAUUCGAAAGAUACCUAACUUGCUUUGUGUAUAAAAGGUAAAUAAAGGCUUGGCUGGGCAUGGUGGCUCACAGGAGGCUGAGACAACAAUCACUUGAGCUUAGGAGUUUGAGACUAGCCUGGUGGGUAACAUGGCGAAACCCAAUCUCGACCAAAAAUACAAAAAUUAGCUGGGCAUGGUAGUGUGCGUCUGUAGUCCCAGCUACUCAGGAGGCUGAGGCAGGAGGAUCCCUUGAGCCCAGGAGGUGGAGGUUGCUGUGAGCUGAGAUCACGCCAUUUCCAGCCUGGGUGACAGAGUAAAACCCUGUUCCAAAAAAAGAUAAAGGCUUGCUAUUUAUGCCAUUUCAAGGAAUUAGUAAGAAAAAUCGUAGAUUAAUGGGUAAAAUAAAUGAAUAGUUAAUUCAAUGGCAGUGCUUAUCCAAUCAAUAAAAGACAUAAAAAUGAUACUGAAGUAAAUGCAAAUUUGUAGUGUUAGUACAAGAUCCUUUCUCAUCUACUUUAUUGGGAUAAAAUUAACUGGAUACAACUACUGUUGGCAGUGAUGGGGAAAGGUUACUUUUAUAUAUUGCUUGUGGGAACUGUGAAUUUUCACUUUCUUUUUUGGAUAGGUAGUGCUUUGGCCUCAUCAGGGAGCUCCUGCUUUAAGCACCUCUUCAUGCUUUGAGGCCACAUUUGUUACUCAGACUUUACAACAGUGGCUUUGAGUUCUGCCCUGUUUCUGGUACCUGAGGAAUUUCUUCUCAUCCUUUUGGUAUUUCUUAUGUAUUUUUAUUGUUUUGUUUUGUUUUAUUCAGCAUUUCUACUUUCUGUUGCUUUGGGUGAGGUUUUCUAUAGCACUUAAGUUCACCAUGACGACUGGAGCACAUCACAAUUUUUUUUAUAACCAGACAAGUUGUCCUGCAAAUAUUAAGGAGACUGGCAGAUGUUAUCAAAUAUAAAAUAACUAUUGGGAUUAACAUCUAUAAACCCUUCUUGAUCAAGGUAUUUAACAGUCAAUUAUAGUUAACCAAGAAGUAAACAAAAAUAACACUGGAAUAGAAGAAAUGUGACAGUGGGCUGGUGCUAUUCAUUGAAUCCAUGUAAGUAUUGAACUAGAAGAGCAACUGAGGGAAUUAAGAUUGCAUAAUAAAAUGUUUUUCUGAAAGGUGUAGGAAUAAUUAUUGAGUGCUAAUCUUAUCAUGGUAUGGUGCCAAUACUUACUCUAAAGUUACUAUGUGGUAAAACAUUUUAUAUAUAUAUUAUAUGUG